RNAcentral lists this small RNA (267 nucleotides) under Arabidopsis thaliana (thale cress). RNAcentral's name for it is "ATSL256870". The record is from RNAcentral. Lineage: Eukaryota; Viridiplantae; Streptophyta; Magnoliopsida; Brassicales; Brassicaceae.
AUAUUAAAAUUAAAAAGAUACAUGAAGAUUAGUUUUCAUCGGACAAACCCGAAUAACAAACCCGAAUAACAAGUUUGAAAAUUGAAAAGUUGACCAAACAUAACUCAAACAUAGAGACACUAGCUGAAGUAAGUUUGAUAGGAGACCAUGAGACGUUUCGAAACUAACUAACACAAGCAUGCCCAUGAGAGAAAUCGUAAACAACACAAAAACCUCGACUGGUAAGAAAAUAGUCACCGUAACUAGUGACAUUAAAACGAAAUUCAA